RNAcentral lists this ribosomal RNA (468 nucleotides) under uncultured bacterium. RNAcentral's name for it is "partial 16S ribosomal RNA". It matches the Rfam family "Bacterial small subunit ribosomal RNA", at positions 28 to 507 of the family's 1533-position model. The record is from RNAcentral.
GACGAACGCUGGCGGCGUGCUUAACACAUGCAAGUCGAACGGAAAGGCCCUGCUUUUGUGGGGUGCUCGAGUGGCGAACGGGUGAGUAACCCGUGAGUAACCUGCCCUUGACUUUGGGAUAACUUCAGGCAACUGGGGCUAAUCCCGGCUAGGAGCUCCUGCUGCAUGGUGGGGGUUGGACAGUUUCGGCGGUUGGGGAUGGACUCGCGGCUUAUCAGCUUGUAGGUGGGGUAGUGGCUUACCAAGGCUUUGACGGGUAGCCGGCCUGAGAGGGUGACCGGCCACAUUGGGACUGAGAUACGGCCCAGACUCCUACGGGAGGCAGCAGGGGGGAAUAUUGCACAAUGGGCGGAAGCCUGAUGCAGCAACGCCGCGUGCGGGAUGACGGCCUUCGGGUUGUAAACCGCUUUCGCCUGUGACGAAGCGUGAGUGACGGUAAUGGGUAAAGAAGCACCGGCUAACUACGUG